This 720-nucleotide long non-coding RNA is filed under the name Callithrix jacchus (white-tufted-ear marmoset). RNAcentral's name for it is "lncRNA (ENSCJAG00000073154.1)". The record is from RNAcentral. Lineage: Eukaryota; Metazoa; Chordata; Mammalia; Primates; Cebidae.
AUGCAUGGAAAUGCCAAAGACUGGGAACAUAAUUCCAAUAGUCUCAGCAGCACGCUGGGAGCAGGAGGAUCCCCAAGUCCCAGUGGGCUACAAACCUCCUGGGUCAGACUUUCUAUGUGUUUGCUUGGGUCACUGGAAGUGGCCAGGGAGACUUCUAUGAAUGUGUCAGAUAUCUUGGUGCAUCAAUUUAGGCUCUGUGGCAAAGUCCAGAAGAUGAGGGAAAUUGAAAUAAUUGUGGAUACUUGGUUCUACACUUAUGGUUUUGACACGGGGGAAACAUUUGAUGUUGUUUUUUCUGCUUCAAGGAUUCCAAUGAUGUAUCUUUCUCUGUUUCAGCCACCAUGGGUUACUGACAGACCAAAAUAUCCUGACAACUCCCGAAUGCCGGAAGGAGAGAAUGGGUUUAUACAUCUGAGGACCUUGACUAUUCUUGCCUCUCAGAAUUAUCUGCGUUUAUGUUUACAUAAACCACUGACUGGGAUCAUCAUAAGUGAAUCAUCAUGUUCCCCAAACCAGAAACUGCCCUGGCACACAGGAAGCUUAUGUUAGUAUCUUAGUGUGAUAUAUAUGUAUACACAUACUGUACACAUGAACAUGUAUCUAUGUGAUGUUUCCAGAGAUAUGUGUUCAUAUCCAAAGACAGUUGUCUUUGAAAGUAUACACAAGAAACUCUGAUAAACUUCUGGAAAAUGGAGGUAGGAGAGUGGAGUGAAAGAGAGC